This 735-nucleotide long non-coding RNA is filed under the name Citrus maxima (pomelo). RNAcentral's name for it is "long non-coding RNA (CMAX_LNC004189)". Lineage: Eukaryota; Viridiplantae; Streptophyta; Magnoliopsida; Sapindales; Rutaceae. The record is from RNAcentral.
UUUGUAGAUGGGAAUUGGUGGUGGAAGCACUUUUGGGAUUGGGGGUUUUGGUUUGUAGAUGGGAAUUGGUGGAAGCACCUUCGGGAUUGGGGGUUUUGGUUUGUAGAUGGGAAUUGGUGGUGGAAGCACUUUUGGGAUUGGGGGUUUUGGUUUGUAGAUGGGAAUCGGUGGUGGAAGAACCUUCGGGAUUGGUGGUUUUGGUUUGUAGAUGGGAAUUGGUGGAAGCAAUUUCGGGAUUGGGGGUUUUGGUUUGUAGAUGGGAACUGGUGGUGGAAGCACCUUUGGGAUUGGGGGUUUGGGUUUGUAGAUGGGAAUUGGUGGAAGCACCUUCGGGAUUGGAGGUUUUGGUUUGUAGAUGGGAAUUGGUGGAAGCACCUUCGGGAUUGGGGGUUUUGGUUUGUAGAUGGGAAUUGGUGGAAGCACCUUCGGGAUUGGGGGUUUUGGUUUGUAGAUGGGAAUUGAUGGUGGAAGCACUUUCGGGAUUGGGGGUUUUGGUUUGUAGAUGGGAAUUGGUGGAAGCAACUUCGGGAUUGGGGGUUUUAGUUUGUAGAUGGGAAUUGGUGGUGGAAGCACUUUCGGGAUUGGAGGUUUUGGUUUGUAAAUAGGGAUUGGUGGUGGAAUCACCUUUGGAAUUGGUGGUUUUGGUUUAUAAAAGGGAACUGGUGGUAUUUUUGGAAUGGGAGGAAGUGGCUUUUUGAACUUUGGAAUUGGAGGCAGUGGCUUCUUGAAUUUAGG